AUUGAACGCUGGCGGCAUGCCUAACACAUGCAAGUCGAGCGGUAACAGAAAGAAAGCUUGCUUUCUUUGCUGACGAGCGGCGGACGGGUGAGUAAUGCCUGGGAAUAUACCCUGAUGUGGGGGAUCACUAUUGGAAACGAUAGCUAAUACCGCAUCAUCUCUUCGGAGCAAAGAGGUGGACCUUCGGGCCUCUCGCGUCAGGAUUCGCCCAGGUGGGAUUAGCUAGUUGGUGGGGUAAUGGCUCACCAAGGCGACGAUCCCUAGCUGGUCUGAGAGGAUGGUCAGCCACACUGGAACGGAGACACGGUCCAGACUCCUACGGGAGGCAGCAGUGGGGAAUAUUGCACAAUGGGGGAAACCCUGAUGCAGCGAUGCCGCGUGUAUGAAGAAGGCCUUCGGGUUGUAAAGUACGUUCAGUUGUGAGGAAGGCGUUGGAGUUAAUAGCUUCAGCGAUUGACGUUAGCAACAGAAGAAGCACCGGCUAACUCCGUG
Molecule: ribosomal RNA, 492 nt
Filed under: uncultured bacterium
Lineage: Bacteria
Description: partial 16S ribosomal RNA
Rfam family: Bacterial small subunit ribosomal RNA
Source: RNAcentral